GACGAACGCUGGCGGCGUGCUUAACACAUGCAAGUCGAGCGGAAAGGCCUUUCGGGGUACUCGAGCGGCGAACGGGUGAGUAACACGUGAGUAAUCUGCCCCGCACUCUGGGAUAGCCACCGGAAACGGUGAUUAAUACCGGAUAUGACGCAUCUCCGCAUGGGGGUGUGUGGAAAGUUUUUUCGGUGUGGGAUGUGCUCGCGGCCUAUCAGCUUGUUGGUGGGGUAAUGGCCUACCAAGGCUUCGACGGGUAGCCGGCCUGAGAGGGUGACCGGCCACACUGGGACUGAGACACGGCCCAGACUCCUACGGGAGGCAGCAGUGGGGAAUAUUGGACAAUGGGCGGAAGCCUGAUCCAGCAACGCCGCGUGAGGGAUGACGGCCUUCGGGUUGUAAACCUCUUUCAGCACAGACGAAGUUUUGUCUUUUGGGCGAAGUGACGGUAUGUGCAGAAGAAGGACCGGCCAACUACGUGCCAGCAGCCGCCGUAACAC
Molecule: ribosomal RNA, 494 nt
Filed under: uncultured bacterium
Lineage: Bacteria
Description: bacterial SSU rRNA
Rfam family: Bacterial small subunit ribosomal RNA
Source: RNAcentral